Camelina sativa (false flax) is the source of this 102-nucleotide non-coding RNA. The record is from RefSeq and is a predicted model, not a curated record. NCBI's taxonomy places the organism in Eukaryota, Viridiplantae, Streptophyta, Magnoliopsida, Brassicales, Brassicaceae.
UGCUUUCUUGCUCGGUCUUCACAAUGGCUUUCACUCUCCUGGAUUUGUCACUGUUCAACCAGCUUCUUCUUUUGAGAGCUUUACCAGAAUCAAUGCUACCAA